Molecule: long non-coding RNA, 495 nt
Filed under: Mustela putorius furo (domestic ferret)
Lineage: Eukaryota; Metazoa; Chordata; Mammalia; Carnivora; Mustelidae
Description: lncRNA (ENSMPUG00000029273.1)
Source: RNAcentral
GGACAAUGGAAUUCAAGUCACCGUGGCACUUAGUCUCCAUGGUGACAAUUGUGAUUAUAAAGACGGUGGUGUUGGCUGGCUGCUUCUGAUGACUCCCCAGAGAGUAAACAAUGAAAAGGACUUACUGAAAGCCUCGUAAUACCCAACUCAGAACCAGCUUUGUUUCAGAAAACCCAGUCUCUGGAAGAAGUAUCAUUUCUACACUGGAGAGGUCACAUGAAGUUCAGAGUUUCCUAAUCUCUGGUGACACAGUCAGGAUUAGGAAUCAUGGGCUUGCUUCUACCCAAGUUCCUUGAAACCCCAGUGUAAUAGUACGAGUGUUUUAAGCAAAACCUCCCCGUCCUGACACCAUCACGAACACCUACCUGCCAGCCAUACAGGAACAAAACAGCAGCCUUCUUCCAGCACAAGACUGAGCCGUGUACUCAACCGAAUGCACACAGAGCACCCGUCUCCCCAUCUUUAAACGAACAGGUAAAAACACUUCUAGAUUCC